This is a long non-coding RNA of Anguilla rostrata (American eel), 1127 nucleotides long. RefSeq lists it as uncharacterized. The record is from RefSeq and is a predicted model, not a curated record. The transcript is spliced from 2 exons. Lineage: Eukaryota; Metazoa; Chordata; Actinopteri; Anguilliformes; Anguillidae.
ACACUCCACCCCCUGAAGUUCAGGGCACCGUGACAACUAGAUGUCUCCUUCACAGGAAGAGUGCUACCAGACACACAUGCACAUUCACACACUCGCAAUAUCCCCCCAAGACUGAUUCAUUCCCUCUUCUUCCCUCACAUACUCUUUCACUGACACACAUAAAAACAUUCAUGCAAACAAUAUCCUAAGCUACCACUUCUUUUUUCACACAGUCACACACACAUUGCCGCACACACACAAUCUGUUCUCACACAUGCUGGUUCAUGACUGAUGCCAAAUCUGGACUGCUUCUGUUCAGACUCCACUGUGGCUGGCAUUUGAGAUGGAUGAAGCCUUGCAGUGUCUGUGAACAGAAGCGCACAAGAACUCCAGCACACCGGGGAACGAGUGAAAAGGCCUAACUGUCAAGAUUCCCCGUCUCUACUCUCCAAACAGUCACUCAAACCGUUCAUUGCUCCAAACCAGAAUGUAGUAAAAACUUCCGUGAAGCGUCUUCCGCCCCUCGGGAAUAAAUUGUGUUUACAGGAGACGGCCUUUUAGAUUGACACGAGCCGCGGUAUUAGACUGGACAGACUGUUUUUACAACCAAAGGGUCAGCGGCUACUAUCAACAAGACGAAACAAAGUCCACACUGCCCGAGAGGCUGAGCGGCAUGAUGUAAAAGGACUUCACUACACACCAGCACGUGAGCGAAUUGUUGUGCAACGUGCGCGAGUGCCUAUUUUUUACAGUCUCUGGCGAGUAGGCCGAGGAGCGUGAAGAGGGGGCGGGAAAUGUGACAGAAAAAGUUUUCUGCCGCAGUCAACAUACAUACUCUAUCAGACCGAUGAACCUGACUUCCACAUGAGUAAAGGAUCUUCACUCGCUGCAGGGUUUCGGCCCGAUUAAACUGCUUCGGUCACAACCACCACAGUCAUGUAUAUGUAACUAGACUACUGGAGCUGACAGACACACCCUGUACACACAUUCGAGCUGAUACGGUCAUCAGUUUCGAUCCUGUUCAGGCUGGUUGAGGAGCAUUCUCUAUAGCUGCAUCGCAAGACAGAGCCAGAAAAAAAACUGGAAUUGUGAUCAUUUUUAUUUAUAAUGUAUUACUUUUAAUGAUUGAUUUACUUGAAAAAAGACUC